AUGAGAGACUGUGGUUUAGAAAGAAAAAAAAAAGCAGAAUUGGAGUACAACACACAAUAGACACGUACUGACACAGAAGUAGUUUUUCUUCUCUGUGAUUAUAGAUUCACAACAGGACUUUUCAACAUUUCUCCUUUUCUGAACUGCUGAAGAAAAUGUUUCACUCCUUUGUUUUUUGCUGUCUGUGCUUUUGGCAUCUGGUUGGUGUGUUUGCUGGUUCAGAUACAGUGAAGUCAGUGUCAGUGGGAAAUCCAGUCACUCUAGAAUCUGGUCUUACUGAAAUCAAGACAGAUUCUGAGAUAACAUGGAAAUUUGGACAACCAGAGACUAUUAUAUCUUACAUUAAUAAAGAGGGCUAAAAUCUUCAACACAUCUGAUGGUCCCUGAUGGGAGAUUCAGAGACAGACUGCAGCUAGGUCAUCAGACUGGAUCUCUUACCAUCACAGACACCCAAAACCACAGACUCUGGACUCUAUCAAAUAACCAUCAGUGAAACGACAGUCACCACAAACAGAUUCAGUGUUACUGUCUAUGAAGUCCCUGUCUAUUGUUGUGAUACUGUCGAAGCUGUGAUCCGGUUGGUCGUCACUGUUCUGAUGGGCGUGGCUGCUGCGGCUGCUGCUGUGCUUCUGAUCAAUGACAUCAGAUUUACAAGAGGUGAAAAGAAGAAAACAGAACAGAUAUAAAUAUUCUGACAUA
This is a long non-coding RNA of Cyprinus carpio (common carp), 699 nucleotides long. RefSeq lists it as uncharacterized. NCBI's taxonomy places the organism in Eukaryota, Metazoa, Chordata, Actinopteri, Cypriniformes, Cyprinidae. The transcript has 3 exons. The record is from RefSeq and is a predicted model, not a curated record.